RNAcentral lists this transfer RNA (77 nucleotides) under Rickettsiales bacterium. Its description in RNAcentral is "tRNA-Pro". It matches the Rfam family "tRNA". Rfam says of the family: Transfer RNA (tRNA) molecules are approximately 80 nucleotides in length. Their secondary structure includes four short double-helical elements and three loops (D, anti-codon, and T loops). Lineage: Bacteria; Pseudomonadati; Pseudomonadota; Alphaproteobacteria; Rickettsiales. The record is from RNAcentral.
CGGAGUGUAGUUCAGCCUGGUAGAAUGCUUGCAUGGGGUGCAAGAGGUCGCUGGUUCGAUUCCAGUCACUCCGACCA